GAUGAAGAACGUAGCGAAAUGCGAUAAGUAGUGUGAAUUGCAGAAUUCAGUGAAUCAUCGAAUCUUUGAACGCACAUUGCGCCCCUUGGUAUCCCGAGGGGCAUGCCUGUUCGAGCGUCAUUUCACCACUCAAGCCUGGCUUGAUGUUGGGCGACGUCCUCUUUGGGGACGCGCCUCGAAACGCUCGGCGGCGUGGCACCGGCUUUAAGCGUAGCAGAAUCUUUCGCUUUGGAAGUCGGGGCCCCGUCUGCCGGAAGACCUGCUCGCAAGGUUGACCUCGGAUCAGGCAGGGAUACCCGCUGAACUUAAGCAUAUCAAUAAGCGGAGGA
This 329-nucleotide unclassified non-coding RNA is filed under the name soil metagenome. RNAcentral's name for it is "partial contains 5.8S ribosomal RNA, internal transcribed spacer 2, and large subunit ribosomal RNA". The stretch from base 1 to 120 matches the Rfam family "5.8S ribosomal RNA", at positions 35 to 154 of the family's 154-position model. The record is from RNAcentral.